This 163-nucleotide ribosomal RNA is filed under the name Viola rockiana. RNAcentral describes it as "5.8S ribosomal RNA". It matches the Rfam family "5.8S ribosomal RNA". From Rfam's summary of the family: 5.8S ribosomal RNA (5.8S rRNA) is a component of the large subunit of the eukaryotic ribosome. The record is from RNAcentral. Lineage: Eukaryota; Viridiplantae; Streptophyta; Magnoliopsida; Malpighiales; Violaceae.
AAAUGACUCUCGGCAACGGAUAUCUCGGCUCUCGCAUCGAUGAAGAACGUAGCGAAAUGCGAUACUUGGUGUGAAUUGCAGAAUCCCGUGAAUCAUCGAGUCUUUGAACGCAAGUUGCGCCCGAAGCCUUUUGGCCGAGGGCACGUCUGCCUGGGUGUCACGC